RNAcentral lists this ribosomal RNA (942 nucleotides) under Microbacterium azadirachtae. Its description in RNAcentral is "bacterial SSU rRNA". It matches the Rfam family "Bacterial small subunit ribosomal RNA", at positions 82 to 1038 of the family's 1533-position model. Lineage: Bacteria; Bacillati; Actinomycetota; Actinomycetes; Micrococcales; Microbacteriaceae. The record is from RNAcentral.
GCUUUGGGGAUUAGUGGCGAACGGGUGAGUAACACGUGAGCAACUGCCCCUCACUCUGGGAUUAGCGCUGGAAACGGCGUCUAAUACCGGAUACGAGAUGCGACCGCAUGGUCAGUGUCUGGAAAGAUUUUUUGGUGGGGGAUGGGCUCGCGGCCUAUCAGCUUGUUGGUGAGGUAAUGGCUCACCACGGCGUCGACGGGUAGCCGGCUGAGAGGGUGACCGGCCACACUGGGANUGAGACACGGCCCAGACUCNUACGGGAGGCAGCAGUGGGGAAUAUUGCACAAUGGGCGGAAGCCUGAUGCAGCAACGCCGCGUGAGGGAUGACGGCCUUCGGGUUGUAAACCUCUUUUAGCAGGGAAGAAGCGAAAGUGACGGUACNUGCAGAAAAAGCACCGGCNAACUACGUGCCAGCAGCCGCGGUAAUACGUAGGGUGCAAGCGUUAUCNGGAAUUAUUGGGCGUAAAGAGCUCGUAGGCGGUUUGUCGCGUCUGCUGUGAAAUCCCGAGGCUCAACCUCGGGCCUGCAGUGGGUACGGGCAGACUAGAGUGCGGUAGGGGAGAUUGGAAUUCCUGGUGUAGCGGUGGAAUGCGCAGAUAUCAGGAGGAACACCGAUGGCGAAGGCAGAUCUCUGGGCCGUAACUGACGCUGAGGAGCGAAAGGGUGGGGAGCAAACAGGCUUAGAUACCCUGGUAGUCCACCCCGUAAACGUUGGGAACUAGUUGUGGGGUCCUUUCCACGGAUUCCGUGACGCAGCUAACGCAUUAAGUUCCCCGCCUGGGGAGUACGGCCGCAAGGCUAAAACUCAAAGGAAUUGACGGGGACCCGCACAAGCGGCGGAGCAUGCGGAUUAAUUCGAUGCAACGCGAAGAACCUUACCAAGGCUUGACAUACACGAGAACGGGCCAGAAAUGGUCAACUCUUUGGACACUCGUGAACAGG